This 464-nucleotide ribosomal RNA is filed under the name Vreelandella stevensii. Its description in RNAcentral is "partial 16S ribosomal RNA". It matches the Rfam family "Bacterial small subunit ribosomal RNA", at positions 339 to 795 of the family's 1533-position model. Lineage: Bacteria; Pseudomonadati; Pseudomonadota; Gammaproteobacteria; Oceanospirillales; Halomonadaceae. The record is from RNAcentral.
CUACGGGUGGCAGCAGUGGGGAAUAUUGGACAAUGGGGGGAACCCUGAUCCAGCCAUGCCGCGUGUGUGAAGAAGGCCCUCGGGUUGUAAAGCACUUUCAGUGAGGAAGAACGCCUGGUGGUUAAUACCCAUCAGGAAAGACAUCACUCACAGAAGAAGCACCGGCUAACUCCGUGCCAGCAGCCGCGGUAAUACGGAGGGUGCGAGCGUUAAUCGGAAUUACUGGGCGUAAAGCGCGCGUAGGUGGCUUGAUAAGCCGGUUGUGAAAGCCCCGGGCUCAACCUGGGAACGGCAUCCGGAACUGUCAAGCUAGAGUGCAGGAGAGGAAGGUAGAAUUCCCGGUGUAGCGGUGAAAUGCGUAGAGAUCGGGAGGAAUACCAGUGGCGAAGGCGGCCUUCUGGACUGACACUGACACUGAGGUGCGAAAGCGUGGGUAGCAAACAGGAUUAGAUACCCCGGUAGUC